RNAcentral lists this ribosomal RNA (556 nucleotides) under uncultured low G+C Gram-positive bacterium. Its description in RNAcentral is "bacterial SSU rRNA". It matches the Rfam family "Bacterial small subunit ribosomal RNA", at positions 56 to 579 of the family's 1533-position model. The record is from RNAcentral. Lineage: Bacteria; Bacillati; Bacillota.
UGCGAGUUGAACGCUCCGCCCUCUACUGCCCUUCGGGGCAGAAGAGGAUUACGGAGAGUAGCGGACGGGUGAGUAACGCGUAGGUAACCUGCCCUGGAGAGGAGGAUAACUCUGCGAAAGCGGGGCUAAUCCUCCAUAUGUUAGGGCAUCGUAAGAUGCCUUAAUGAAAGGCGGCAUUAAGCCGUCGUUUCAGGAUGGGCCUGCGUCGGAUUAGCUAGCUGGUAGGGUAAAGGCCUACCAGGGCGACAAUCCGUAGCUGGUCUGAGAGGACGAUCAGCCACACUGGGACUGAGACACGGCCCAGACUCCUACGGGAGGCAGCAGUGGGGAAUCUUCCGCAAUGGGCGCAAGCCUGACGGAGCGACGCCGCGUGAGUGAAGAAGGCCUUCGGGUCGUAAAGCUCUGUCAGUGGGGAAGAAGGCAGUCAUCAAGAAAAGGGUGACUGUUGACGGUACCCGCAAAGGAAGCCCUGGCCAACUACGUGCCAGCAGCCGCGGUAACACGUAGAGGGCAAGCGUUGUCCGGAAUUACUGGGCGUAAAGGGCGCGCAGGCGGC